GCCACCGAAGCUCAGAGGUUAGAGCACUGGUCUCGUAAACCAGGGGUCGCGAGUUCGAAUCUCGUUGGUAGCU
This 73-nucleotide transfer RNA is filed under the name Araneus ventricosus. It matches the Rfam family "tRNA". From Rfam's summary of the family: Transfer RNA (tRNA) molecules are approximately 80 nucleotides in length. Their secondary structure includes four short double-helical elements and three loops (D, anti-codon, and T loops). Lineage: Eukaryota; Metazoa; Arthropoda; Arachnida; Araneae; Araneidae. The record is from Rfam by way of RNAcentral.